This 22-nucleotide small nuclear RNA is filed under the name Arabidopsis thaliana (thale cress). RNAcentral's name for it is "snRNA_04887". Lineage: Eukaryota; Viridiplantae; Streptophyta; Magnoliopsida; Brassicales; Brassicaceae. The record is from RNAcentral.
AAUCGGACGUCUUCGGCGUUCG